CUUUUUUUCAUUUUUGGUCAAUUCAGUGCUUGUAAAAUUUAUUGCCAUUAAAAACGAUUUUGGUGUACCAGAUUUCACCUGAGGAGAAGAGAACCAUAAUUAACCUUUUCCUCCCUUUACCUUAUCUACAACCUCUACAGCAUCACAUUCACAAAACACAAUCAUUUCAUUUCUUCAAACCCUUGCAAUAAAUGAGGAUUUGCAGUUAGUGGAACAUAGGAAGUUUGGGUUGUGAAUCUCUUAAAUUCAAUUGUGAUUAAGGCCUUAUUCGAAGCAGGUAAUUCGUUGUCUAUAAUUUUCUCAACUUUGUCUAUCAGGAUAUCUGGGUUUUAUCUUCUUCUUCUUCUUCUUUUUUUUUUUUAAAAUAGCAUUUGCUUUAUUUAACUAGAAAUGAAGAACUUAGGAUCUGGGCUUUCGAAUAUCAUUCAAAUUUCAAUUUUGAGUUAAUUGUUGGCUUGUUGGGUAGCACUCAAAUCGUAACUUACCUAUUGCGGACCUGACUCCUGUGUCCAGUUGGCUCAUUUUUGUAAUUAGGUGACUUCACGGAGUUUGGGGUGGUUCAUAAGCAUUAGAAAGAAAAAGUAUGUGAGCCGCCUCCAAUGACUUCGCGUACCAUCUUCUAGCAUGUUUGGGGUAAGUGGAUGUUGAUACCAUCAUUACAAGCACUUCGGGAAGUACUACUUGUAUUUUGUUCAAUUAUAAACAAGAAUUGUGUGGGUGACCUGUUUGACAAUUUAAGAGGUUGUAUGAGCGAGCACUUUAAGCAAGCCAUACUUGCUUGAGCGAGAAUAUUCUCACUCUGGGGGCACUGAAAUUCGCACUUCAAAGUAUUCUUGUUCCCUUAAGUGAAUUUGCAUAUUUGCCUAAAGCUUCCCAUAUCCUUGAAAUUAUUUGUUGUAGAAGCCCGUUAGCAAUUUCAAACCAAGAGGGUGCAAAUAUUGUUUCGAGGAAAGAGUUUCCUUUACGGGUUUCAAGCCCUCCAUUUGCGGUUUUGCCUCCUCUUUUGUUUGCAUUUCAGCCUCCUUUUCUAAUUUUCGACAGUACACAAGUAGAAAAUUGGUGGCUAAAGUUUUUAUAAGCCUAUGAGUCAAGCCUAAACUUAGCGAUGUGGACUAAAUUGGGAUGGUUAAUGUUAAGAUAUACACAUCAACAAAGCAAAGCCUUCGAGAUAACUUGCACCAGAUUCUUAAUCCCAGAACUUGCAGAUUGAACGCAUCAGAUUUAUUCUCUAGCUUCUCACAUGGAUUCUUCCAGGCUGUCUACAGUUGUCCACAGCUGUGUUAAUUAGUUUAGUUAGUUAGUUUAGUUACUUAUGUUCUCUAUAAAUACCAGACCUUGUAUAGCUUUUAGAUCAUUGGAUUGUAGUUAUUCUCCAAUCCCUCCUUAUGGAGGUUUCUUUUCCUCCUACAAUGGAGUGUCUUUUAUAUGGAACUUAGUCCAGUUCCAUUUGUAUUCCUUUCCUCCUUUUAUGGAGUUCAAUUCAAUAUUGUUUCUUGCUUUAAUGAUGAAGUCUUUCAUAUUGUUUUCAUUCAAGAAUUUAACAUGGUAUCAGAGCAGAGAAUUCUUCCUGCUGCUGUUUUUUUUUUGUUUUGAGAUUUAAUUCAUCUCAUGUCUCUGUGUCCUGCUCAAUGAAAGCAGAUUUAUCACAGUUCAUACAGAUCAUCCUUCAAUUUGUCUACAUCUGAAGAUAACUUUGACUUCAGAUUUUUGCUCUUCUUUUCCAGCACCUGAAAUUUUGUAUUGUGUCUGUUUUUCCAGCAUUCCACUGGAUAUGAUUGUCUUUUCCAGCAUUCAUUGAAGGCAGGCCAGAUCCCGUUGAAGGCCUUUGUUUUCAGAAAAUUGUUGAUAAUGGCAGAGCCAUUCUCCUUCCAAUUUCCGGAUGCUAACUGAAGCUGAAAUAUUUUUGCUUCUUCGCCGAAGGAUUUCCUCCAUUUCAUGUCUUCAAUACAUUCAAAUUUCAAUCUUCAAAAUCUGCCCUUGCUACAUCAUGUUUGCAAGUGUUUCUACGUGAAUUUUUGGAAUCUGUGAAUGACAGUUUGGUUGUUGAAGCUUUAACAAGUGCAGAUAGGCAGAAAAAGGUCAAUUAUGGUUGGGCCUGCAUCCUUUUCCACUCUUCUCUUUAGUAACUGAAGCUGCACACAAGAUGUUUGAUAAAAUGUACAGCAAAGCUCUUCCUUAUUAUUUCUGGGUCUGGAGUACUGGCAUUUUGCUUAAACAACAUUGUGAAUCCAGGAACUUGUUCCAAUUGAUCUAUAUCAGAUUUUAUCAUCUUUAAUCUUCAAGAUGGACUAUAGUUGAUCUUCCAAGUCCAUCUUGAGGGGGGGUGUUAAGAUAUACACAUCAACAAAGCAAAGCCUUCCAGAUAACUUGCACCAGAUUCUUAAUCCCAGAACUUGCAGAUUGAACGCAUCAGAUUUAUUCUCUAGCUUCUCACAUGGAUUCUUCCAGGCUGUCUACAGUUGUCCACAGCUGUGUUAAUUAGUUUAGUUAGUUAGUUUAGUUACUCAUGUUCUCUAUAAAUACCAGACCUUGUAUAGCUUUUAGAUCAUUGGAUUGUAGUUUCUCUCCAAUCCCUCCUUAUGGAGGUUUCUUUUCCUCCUACAAUGGAGUGUCUUUUAUAUGGAACUUAGUCCAGUUCCAUUUGUAUUCCUUUCCUCCUUUUAUGGAGUUCAAUUCAAUAUUGUUUCUUGCUUCAAUGAUGAAACCUUUCAUAUUGUUUUCAUUCAAGAAUUUAACAGUUAACAUAAUUUGUAAUUGCGUUCUAAUUAUUGUGUCACCUAUGUCAGUUCAAAGAUGGGGAAAUUAAAUUUAAGAUUCUGUUCUUUUGUUACUUCUCUACAAUAAAUGAAAUAGUUCCCUUUCUUGGAGUGAUUUGGCGACCUGCAGUUGGAUAUGCCUUUUGUACAUUUCGAUGUUCAAAAUACCAAGAGAAAAAUGAUUGAAUCAAAGAGGGUGAUUGAUUUUAUAUAAACUGCAAAUUCUUUACAUUUUCUAGUCUUGGUUAAAUUUGUGCAUAAAUAUGUUAUAUUGUUGGUGCAGAUAGUUUUGUCUUAUGCAUGGGAUGCAAAAAGAUGACUCAAC
This 3081-nucleotide long non-coding RNA is filed under the name Olea europaea subsp. europaea. The record is from RNAcentral. Lineage: Eukaryota; Viridiplantae; Streptophyta; Magnoliopsida; Lamiales; Oleaceae.